AGUUUGAUCCUGGCUCAGGAUGAACGCUAGCUACAGGCUUAACACAUGCAAGUCGAGGGGCAGCAUGGGAUUAGCUUGCUAAUCCUGAUGGCGACCGGCGCACGGGUGAGUAACGCGUAUCCAACCUUCCCUUAACUCCGGAAUAGCCCGCUGAAAGGCGGAUUAAUGCCGGAUGCGGUCCAGCGAGGGCAUCUGACCCGGACCAAAGGUUUACCGGUUAAGGAUGGGGAUGCGUCUGAUUAGGUUGUUGGCGGGGUAACGGCCCACCAAGCCAUCGAUCAGUAGGGGUUCUGAGAGGAAGGUCCCCCACAUUGGAACUGAGACACGGUCCAAACUCCUACGGGAGGCAGCAGUGAGGAAUAUUGGUCAAUGGGCGGAAGCCUGAACCAGCCAUGCCGCGUGAAGGAAUGAGGCCCUAUGGGUCGUAAACUUCUUUUGACGGGGAGCAAUAAGGCGUACGUGUACGCUGAUGAGAGUACUCGUCGAAUAAGCAUCGGCUAACUCCGUGCC
This 510-nucleotide ribosomal RNA is filed under the name uncultured organism. RNAcentral describes it as "SSU rRNA". It matches the Rfam family "Bacterial small subunit ribosomal RNA", at positions 10 to 509 of the family's 1533-position model. The record is from RNAcentral.